CGUGGACCCGUAAUCCGGGUUGCGGACAGUGUCUGGUGGGUAGUUUGACUGGGGCGGUCUCCUCCUAAAGAGUAACGGAGGAGCACGAAGGUUGGCUAAUCCUGGUCGGACAUCAGGAGGUUAGUGCAAUGGCAUAAGCCAGCUUGACUGCGAGCGUGACGGCGCGAGCAGGUGCGAAAGCAGGUCAUAGUGAUCCGGUGGUUCUGAAUGGAAGGGCCAUCGCUCAACGGAUAAAAGGUACUCCGGGGAUAACAGGCUGAUACCGCCCAAGAGUUCAUAUCGACGGCGGUGUUUGGCACCUCGAUGUCGGCUCAUCACAUCCUGGGGCUGAAGUAGGUCCCAAGGGUAUGGCUGUUCGCCAUUUAAAGUGGUACGCGAGCUGGGUUUAGAACGUCGUGAGACAGUUCGGUCCCUAUCUGCCGUGGGCGCUGGAGAACUGAGGGGGGCUGCUCCUAGUACGAGAGGACCGGAGUGGACGCAUCACUGGUGUUCGGGUUGUCAUGCCAAUGGCACUGCCCGGUAGCUAAAUGCGGAAGAGAUAAGUGCUGAAAGCAUCUAAGCACGAAACUUGCCCCGAGAUGAGUUCUCCCUGAGACUUAGAGUCUCCUGAAGGAACGUUGAAGACGACGACGUUGAUAGGCCGGGUGUGUAAGCGCAGCGAUGCGUUGAGCUAACCGGUACUAAUGAACCGUGAGGCUUAACCUUACA
RNAcentral lists this ribosomal RNA (708 nucleotides) under Salmonella enterica subsp. enterica serovar Typhimurium. RNAcentral describes it as "partial 23S ribosomal RNA". It matches the Rfam family "Bacterial large subunit ribosomal RNA", at positions 2226 to 2925 of the family's 2925-position model. The record is from RNAcentral. Lineage: Bacteria; Pseudomonadati; Pseudomonadota; Gammaproteobacteria; Enterobacterales; Enterobacteriaceae.